GACGAACGCUGGCGGCGUGCUUAACACAUGCAAGUCGAACGGAAAGGCCCUGCUUUUGUGGGGUGCUCGAGUGGCGAACGGGUGAGUAACACGUGAGUAACCUGCCCUUGACUUUGGGAUAACUUCAGGAAACUGGGGCUAAUACCGGAUAGGAGCUCCUGCUGCAUGGUGGGGGUUGGAAAGUUUCGGCGGUUGGGGAUGGACUCGCGGCUUAUCAGCUUGUUGGUGGGGUAGUGGCUUACCAAGGCUUUGACGGGUAGCCGGCCUGAGAGGGUGACCGGCCACAUUGGGACUGAGAUACGGCCCAGACUGCUACGUGAGGCAGCAGUGGGGAAUAUUGCACAAUGGGCGGAAGCCUGAUGCAGCAGCGCCGCGUGCGUGAUGACGGCCUUCGGGUUGUAAACCGCUUUCGCCUGUGACGAAGCGUGAGUGACGGUAAUGAGUAAAGAAGCACCGGCUAACUACGUG
Molecule: ribosomal RNA, 468 nt
Filed under: uncultured bacterium
Lineage: Bacteria
Description: partial 16S ribosomal RNA
Rfam family: Bacterial small subunit ribosomal RNA
Source: RNAcentral